Molecule: ribosomal RNA, 497 nt
Filed under: uncultured bacterium
Lineage: Bacteria
Description: partial 16S ribosomal RNA
Rfam family: Bacterial small subunit ribosomal RNA
Source: RNAcentral
GAUGAACGCUGACGGCGUGCCUAAUACAUGCCAGUCGAGCGAACGGACGAGAAGCUUGCUUCUCUGAUGUUAGCGGCGGACGGGUGAGUAACACGUGGAUAACCUACCUAUAAGACUGGGAUAACUUCGGGAAACCGGAGCUAAUACCGGAUAAUAUUUUGAACCGCAUGGUUCAAAAGUGAAAGACGGUCUUGCUGUCACUUAUAGGUGGAUCCGCGCUGCAUUAGCUAGUUGGUAAGGUAACGGCUUACCAAGGCAACGAUGCAUAGCCGACCUGAGAGGGUGAUCGGCCACACUGGAACUGAGACACGGUCCAGACUCCUACGGGAGGCAGCAGUAGGGAAUCUUCCGCAAUGGGCGAAAGCCUGACGGAGCAACGCCGCGUGAGUGAUGAAGGUCUUCGGAUCGUAAAACUCUGUUAUUAGGGAAGAACAUAUGUGUAAGUAACUGUGCACAUCUUGACGGUACCUAAUCAGAAAGCCACGGCUAACUACGUG